RNAcentral lists this ribosomal RNA (487 nucleotides) under uncultured Glomus. Its description in RNAcentral is "SSU rRNA". It matches the Rfam family "Eukaryotic small subunit ribosomal RNA", at positions 603 to 1091 of the family's 1831-position model. Lineage: Eukaryota; Fungi; Glomeromycota; Glomeromycetes; Glomerales; Glomeraceae. The record is from RNAcentral.
AUUAAAGUUGUUGCAGUUAAAAAGCUCGUAGUUGAAUUUCGGGGUUAGUAGGUUGGUCAUGCCUCUGGUAUGUACUGGUCUCACUGAUUCCUCCUUCCUGAUGAACCUUAAUGCCAUUAAUUUGGUGUUUUGGGGAAUUUGGACUGUUACUUUGAAAAAAUUAGAGUGUUUAAAGCAAGCUAACGCUUGAAUACAUUAGCAUGGAAUAAUGAAAUAGGACGUUCGAUCCUAUUUUGUUGGUUUCUAGGAUUGACGUAAUGAUUAAUAGGGAUAGUUGGGGGCAUUAGUAUUCAAUUGUCAGAGGUGAAAUUCUUGGAUUUAUUGAAGACUAACUACUGCGAAAGCAUUUGCCAAGGAUGUUUUCAUUAAUCAAGAACGAAAGUUAGGGGAUCGAAGACGAUCAGAUACCGUCGUAGUCUUAACCAUAAACUAUGCCGACUAGGGAUCGGAUGAUGUUAAUUUUUUAAUGACUCAUUCGGCGCCUUAC